GACGUAGGGUGCAAGCGUUGUCCGGAAUCAUUGGGCGUAAAGAGCGUGUAGGCGGCUCGAUAAGUCCGCUCUGAAAGCCCGGGGCUCAACCCCGGGAGGCGGGCGGAUACUGUCGAGCUAGAGUCCGGAAGAGGCGAGUGGAAUUCCUGGUGUAGCGGUGAAAUGCGCAGAUAUCAGGAGGAACACCAAUGGCGAAGGCAGCUCGCUGGGACGGUACUGACGCUGAGACGCGAAAGCGUGGGGAGCAAACAGG
Molecule: ribosomal RNA, 253 nt
Filed under: uncultured bacterium
Lineage: Bacteria
Description: partial 16S ribosomal RNA
Rfam family: Bacterial small subunit ribosomal RNA
Source: RNAcentral